Non-coding RNA from Punica granatum (pomegranate), 119 nucleotides. Lineage: Eukaryota; Viridiplantae; Streptophyta; Magnoliopsida; Myrtales; Lythraceae. The record is from Rfam.
CAGUGCGAUCAUAUCAGCACUAAUGCACCGGAUCCCAUCAGAACUCCGAAGUUAAGCGUGCUUGGGCGAGAGUAGUACUAGGAUGGGUGACCUCCUGGGAAGUCCUCGUGUUGCACCCC